RNAcentral lists this long non-coding RNA (1011 nucleotides) under Equus caballus (horse). RNAcentral's name for it is "lncRNA (ENSECAG00000045839.1)". The record is from RNAcentral. Lineage: Eukaryota; Metazoa; Chordata; Mammalia; Perissodactyla; Equidae.
GGAAAAUCUAUUAUUUUCUUGUCUGAAUACUGUGUACUGCCUUUCACUACCUCUAUCUAGGGAAUGUGGAAUAUGUAAGAAAUAAAAUUAAACUUCUCUUUCUGAAACCAGCCCGCAGAGUGGUUGAGACAGGCCUGUGUGCCCCUUUCUUCCUGCUGUGUAACGUUACUUUCUGGGAUAUCCUAUUCUGUCCUCAUGUCAGAAAAUGUCAGCAUGGCUCUCCAAUAGCUAGACAGGCUGAACCCCUUCUAUGGGAACUGAGAGCAAAUAAAGUAUUAGUCUAAGGGGUUCAUCUGACAGUUUGGCAAAACCUUAGAAGAUGACUCCCCGGUCCCUAGAGGAGUGGAGCUCAGCCAUGGCUUGGCAAGGUGCUCUUGGCAGUGAGCUCCUCUCAUGAAGUCCUGCCUUUGGUUUCCCUAUGCAUGCCCCUUGGAGGAUCCUGGCUCUCUUGGACUUCAUGGAAUCAGGGAAACCCCCACUCCGGAGACCACAAGGCUCUGCCUUUCUUUCUUCUUUCUCUUGCGUUGAUAUGAUGGAGGUUGACAAGCCCAAAGUUAAUACAUUUGCAACAUUGUGGAAGCUGUCACCCAGGCUGCAUUGGGACUGAGGGCUAAUUAAUUAGCUGUAGGUUAAAAUAAAAGGACCCAAUCUCUCUUACAGAGCCUUCUGGAGAACAUCAGUAAUGUUGUGAUUAAAGGAUUACAAGUAAAAACUAGAAACAACAAGAGGAAAAUAUACAUGAAUAUUAAUUUGAUCUGGGCAUGAGUAAGAGGUUCUUAAGAGCGACAGAGACUGGCUAGUGUCCACUGUUACGCCCAUUCUGUGAGGCCACUUCUUCUGGACCUGGGUCUGGAGUCGGGCUGAUUACAUUUCAAGUUCCAGGUAACGCUUAUGCUGUCCUUUCAAGAGCCAUACUUUGAUGGGGAGGAUAGAUGAUCAAGCCUACAAGACCACAAAGGUCCACUUCACUUAGAAGAACAUGGCAGAAGAAACACAGUGGGCCAAGAGAGC